GAGGAGCCCAGCCCUGGGAUUUUCAGGUGUUUGCAUUUGGUGAUCACGACUGAACUCAGAGACUGAACUCACCAUGGAGUUUGUGCUGAGCUGGGUUUUCCUUGUUGCUAUUUUGAAAGGUGUCCAGGGUGAGGUGCAGCUGGUGGAGUCUGGGGGUGGCUUGGUUAAGCCAGGGGGAUCCAUGAGACUCUCCUGUGCAGCCUCUGGAUUCACCUUCAGUAACUAUGGCAUGCACUGGGUCCGCCAGGCUCCAGGAAAGGGGCUGGAGUGGGUCUCAGCUAUUGGUACUAGUGGUGACACAUACUACACAGACUCCGUGAAGGGCCGAUUCACCAUCUCCAGAGACAACGCCAAGAACUCGCUGUAUCUGCAGAUGAACAGCCUGAGAGCCGAGGACACGGCCGUGUAUUACUGUGCGAGAGACACAGUGAGGGGAAGUCAGUGUGAGCCCGGACACAAACCUCCUGCAGGAACGCUUGGGGGAAAUGAGCUGCAGGGGGCACUCAGGAGCCACUGA
Molecule: non-coding RNA, 517 nt
Organism: Callithrix jacchus (white-tufted-ear marmoset)
Lineage: Eukaryota; Metazoa; Chordata; Mammalia; Primates; Cebidae
Source: the annotation of a RefSeq genome assembly